UACGUAGGGGGCGAGCGUUGUCCGGAAUUAUUGGGCGUAAAGAGCUCGUAGGUGGUUUGUCGCGUUGUUCGUGAAAACUCACAGCUUAACUGUGGGCGUGCGGGCGAUACGGGCAGACUGGAGUACUGCAGGGGAGACUGGAAUUCCUGGUGUAGCGGUGGAAUGCGCAGAUAUCAGGAGGAACACCGGUGGCGAAGGCGACUUCCUGGCCUGUUCUUGACGCUGAGGCGCGAAAGCUAGGGUAGCAAACGGG
RNAcentral lists this ribosomal RNA (253 nucleotides) under uncultured bacterium. RNAcentral's name for it is "partial 16S ribosomal RNA". It matches the Rfam family "Bacterial small subunit ribosomal RNA", at positions 524 to 776 of the family's 1533-position model. The record is from RNAcentral.